CGCAUGCAGCACUGGCGACUGCACCGCACGAACACCUCAGCGGCAGCACUGUACUAUACGCACACCGCAGCAGAAACGUCGCACGCAGCAGCAGAGACUGCACGCACGCCGCAGUAGCAGCGCCACAUGCAGCAGCGGUGACUGCACCGCAAGCACGCCUCAACAGCAGCACCACACUGCAUGCCCGCAGCGGCGGCUGCGCGGCUGCACUGCACGCACUCCUCAGCAGCAGCAUCGAACUGCACGCACGCCGCAGCAGCAGCAGUGUCCCAUGCAGAAGCUGCGGUUGCACGCCCGCAGCAGCAACACGCAACUGCACGCCCGCGGCUGCACUGCAUGCACUCCUAGCAGCAGCGCCGCACGCAACAGCGGCGGCUGCGCGGCUGUAUGACCGCAGCAGUAGCGGCUGCACUGCACGCAACAACGGUGGCUGCGCGGCUGCACG
This 445-nucleotide long non-coding RNA is filed under the name Helianthus annuus (common sunflower). Its description in RNAcentral is "hypothetical non coding rna". Lineage: Eukaryota; Viridiplantae; Streptophyta; Magnoliopsida; Asterales; Asteraceae. The record is from RNAcentral.